This 163-nucleotide small nuclear RNA is filed under the name Rhipicephalus sanguineus (brown dog tick). RNAcentral's name for it is "U1 spliceosomal RNA". It matches the Rfam family "U1 spliceosomal RNA". From Rfam's summary of the family: U1 is a small nuclear RNA (snRNA) component of the spliceosome (involved in pre-mRNA splicing). Lineage: Eukaryota; Metazoa; Arthropoda; Arachnida; Ixodida; Ixodidae. The record is from Rfam by way of RNAcentral.
AUACUUACCUGAUGUCGAGCUGUCCGGUGAUCAGCCAGGCCGGGGCUCCGUGCGGAGGCUUUCCAUUGCACUGCGGAUGGCUGAAGCGCGCCACUUUCCCAAACUGGGAUAGCUGGGACAUGUAAUUUUUGGUAGUGGGGCUUGGCGUUCGCGCCAGCCCCUA